RNAcentral lists this ribosomal RNA (253 nucleotides) under uncultured bacterium. RNAcentral's name for it is "partial 16S ribosomal RNA". It matches the Rfam family "Bacterial small subunit ribosomal RNA", at positions 524 to 776 of the family's 1533-position model. The record is from RNAcentral.
UACAGAGGUCCCAAGCGUUGUCCGGAAUUAUUGGGCGUAAAGAGCUCGUAGGCGGUCUGUUACGUCUGCUGUGAAAACCCGGGGCUUAACCCUGGGCUUGCAGUGGAUACGGGCAGACUAGAGGCAGGUAGGGGAGAAUGGAAUUCCCGGUGUAGCGGUGAAAUGCGCAGAUAUCGGGAGGAACACCGGUGGCGAAGGCGGUUCUCUGGGCCUGACCUGACGCUGAGGAGCGAAAGCGUGGGGAGCGAACAGG